UGGGGAAUCUUCCGCAAUGGGCGCAAGCCUGACGGAGCAACGCCGCGUGAGUGAAGAAGGUCUUCGGAUCGUAAAGCUCUGUUGAUGGGGACGAACGUGCCUAAUGCGAAUAGUAUUAGGUAAUGACGGUACCCAUCGAGGAAGCCACGGCUAACUACGUGCCAGCAGCCGCGGUAAUACGUAGGUGGCGAGCGUUGUCCGGAAUCAUUGGGCGUAAAGGGAGCGCAGGCGGGCAUGUAAGUCUUUCUUAAAAGUGCGGGGCUCAACCCCGUGAUGGGAAAGAAGCUAUGUGUAUUGAGUACAGGAGAGGAAAGCGGCAUUACCAGUGUAGCGGUGAAAUGCGUAGAUAUUGGGAGGAACACCAGUGGCGAAGGCGGCUUUCUGGACUGCAACUGACGCUGAGGCUCGAAAGCCAGGGGAGCGAACGGG
This 429-nucleotide ribosomal RNA is filed under the name bacterium. Its description in RNAcentral is "partial 16S ribosomal RNA". It matches the Rfam family "Bacterial small subunit ribosomal RNA", at positions 355 to 776 of the family's 1533-position model. The record is from RNAcentral.